UACAGGAAAUGUGCUCUUCCGAUCCUGAUUCCCUCCAGCAUUCAUGAGGCCACCCCAGCCUGCAUCUCUGAGCUUCAUCAGCAUACUGCAGAUAGUGAUCUUCAGGCCUUGUGGAAUGUCUCAAGAUUCAAGGCAUCCUGUGCUGUAAAGGAAACAAGAAAACGAAGCAAGAGCACACACACAGAGUGCUUUUACAAACUUUGGGAUUUAGUGCAUUUUUGAGGUCUAUUUGUCCCAGAACAGAAUGCUCAGGGACUGUGGAUAAUGCUAAUGGAGAGAAUAGAAUAGUAUGAAGAGCUUGGGUCAUGAAAAGGAUCAUGAAAAGGAGGCUUUGAAGACUUUCAGAAAUAUUUUCCCAUUACUCAUCUUUUAAACUGGAUCCUGGGAACCUAGACCAUGGUAUAUGGAGCCUUGGGAAGUCUUGAACAUCAUGGUAUGACCAGUGGACCUUUCUACUGGGAUCUAAGACUGAGCCCAUUCAGUGUUUUGAGUUGAACUCUUUGCAACUAGUUGAAAGGGUUUUGAGACUGAGAUGGGCAAAUACUAGCCCAAAGAGACGAAUCAGGGCCUGGCUCCCUUACACACUGCUCCUUUUCUUUAAUUUGUUUUGCCCUUCUCUCUCUCUCCUCCUCAUGUCUCCUCUCUUCCUAUUCUAGUGCAUAUUUUUUUGUUACUUCUCUUUUUCACUUUUUCACAUCUUGCCUCAAACAGGGCAUUUCUUGGGCAAAGUUUGACUCCAGUGGUUGACUUCAGAUCUAAGCAACUUCUAGAGUUUGUUCUAGGGAAGAGCAGAACAGACUAACAUGGGGAAGAGGAGCUGGACUACAAGCUGUAGGUGGAGGGGGAGAAGUAAGAGGGAAGAGGACACGAAAUGUGAGGUGUGAAGGUGCCAUAUGCAUCCUAUCCUUGAACCUCGUGGGCUUCAUCCCAUAGGAGAUGAUUUGGGUUGACUCUGGUUGGAAGAUGAGAUUGCCUACGCAACAUUCCUCCCACUGCAGUUCCCGCUUCCACUUUCCUGGCUGGCAGAGACCUCCUUCCACUGUAGAGGCUAAAUGUGGCAGAGGUUCAUUUUGCCACUUCUCUUGCAGCCACGGUAGUAAUCUUAGAUAACAGGUAAGAAGGAAUCUCUGCUGAGGAUUUUGGGGGUAGAAAUUUUCUUUCCUUUGUAAAGAGAGAAGCAUGGAAGGAAAGACCUCGCUUCUUUGUUUCUGGAUUUGGUUGUGCCUGCGUAUGACAUCUGGAACAGCUGCAGCAACCUUGCUACCGUGAAGGAAUCAUGACUGAACACUCCAAGGAUGGCAGGGCAAAACCAUGCAAAGGUCUGGGUCCUUGAGACCAUUGAGCUGCCCAUCAAGUCAGAAGCAUCUCAUGUAAUUGGCCUUAUUGUUUAAGCCAUUUUUAGUUGGAGUUUCUGCUGCUUGUAGCUGAAAGCAUUUUUGGUGGGAACCAGCAAGUACAACCUCAUGCUUGGGCUUUAUU
RNAcentral lists this long non-coding RNA (1479 nucleotides) under Equus asinus (donkey). Its description in RNAcentral is "lncRNA (ENSEASG00005033181.1)". The record is from RNAcentral. Lineage: Eukaryota; Metazoa; Chordata; Mammalia; Perissodactyla; Equidae.